AUGUCUGCCAAGGCCGGCAAGCCCCUGGUCCAGACCGACGCGGGGGCAUACGCUUGGUCAGGUGCCGACCAGCCGGAGCUCGCAACGGAGGGGCUCGGGUGUGGCCUUCUCGUGCUGAGGCCCCUCGGCUUCGCGCUGCCGCACUACGCUGACUCCAACAAGUUCGGCUACGUCCUCAGUGGCUCCGGGGUGGCUGGGGUCCUUCCGGUCGAGGCCAAGGAGAGGGUCGUCCGCCUGAAGGCCGGCGAUGUUAUCGUGGUGCGCACGGGGGACGUCUCGUGGUGGUACAACGACAACGACGGCCACGCUGAUGAUUUGUCCAUCUUGUUCAUAGGAGACACGGCUCGCGCCCUCAGCCCCGGGGACAUCUCAUACUCUUCUGUCGCCGGCGGCAACAGCGUCGUGAGCGGCCUUGACGCGGGCCUCCUCACCAGGGCUGGUGUGACGGAGGAGCAGGCGGCCACCGCGUUCCGGAGCCAGACGGCCGUCCUCCUCACCAGGCUGAGCACGAAGCUGCCCGGCGUAUGCCCGCGCGAGCACGAUAGGAAAGGGCUCGUCGUGAACGCCGGCCACGUCGCCGCAGGGACCCUGAAGACGCUCACCCCGUCGGAUCUGGCCGCGCUGAGCGGCCUCGGGUUCAGCGCGAUGCUCGGGCGGCUCGAGCCCGGUGCCGCGAGGCCACCGUGAGUGCUCCGCGAAGGAGCGGCGCAUGCGGUGUACGUGGCACGCGGGAGCGCGCGCGUCCAGGUCUCGUCUGCCGCGGGCGGCGACACGCUGCUGCUGGACGAGGAGGUCCCCGCGGGGAGCUUGUUCGUUGUGCCACGGUUCGCCGUUGCGCUCGUCGCCGCCGGCGCUGAUGGUGCGGAGUGGGUCUCGCUGAUCAAGAGCGGCAGGCCGGCGGUGGAGCACCUGACCGGGGAGGGCUUGAUUUUCGGCGGCCUGACUCCACAGGUGGUGCAGGCAUCGCUGAAAGUGGCGCCAGAGCUGUUGAAGCUGCUCUGA
This 1002-nucleotide ribosomal RNA is filed under the name Triticum aestivum (bread wheat). RNAcentral's name for it is "partial small subunit ribosomal RNA". The record is from RNAcentral. Lineage: Eukaryota; Viridiplantae; Streptophyta; Magnoliopsida; Poales; Poaceae.